UGGGGAAUAUUGGACAAUGGGCGAAAGCCUGACCCAGCCAUGCCGCGUGAGUGAUGAAGGCCCUAGGGUUGUAAAGCUCUUUUAACGGGGCAGAUAAUGACGGUACCCGUAGAAUAAGCCCCGGCUAACUUCGUGCCAGCAGCCGCGGUAAUACGAAGGGGGCUAGCGUUGCUCGGAAUCACUGGGCGUAAAGCGCACGUAGGCGGACUCUUAAGUCGGUGGUGAAAGCCUGGAGCUCAACUCCAGAACUGCCUUCGAUACUGGGAGUCUCGAGUGCGGGAGAGGUGAGUGGAACUGCGUGUGUAGAGGUGAAAUUCGUAGAUAUUCGCAAGAACACCAGUGGCGAAGGCGGCUCACUGGCCCGAUACUGACGCUGAGGUGCGAAAGCGUGGGGAGCAAACA
RNAcentral lists this ribosomal RNA (402 nucleotides) under uncultured bacterium. RNAcentral's name for it is "bacterial SSU rRNA". It matches the Rfam family "Bacterial small subunit ribosomal RNA", at positions 355 to 774 of the family's 1533-position model. The record is from RNAcentral.